RNAcentral lists this ribosomal RNA (588 nucleotides) under Cronobacter sakazakii. Its description in RNAcentral is "partial 23S ribosomal RNA". It matches the Rfam family "Bacterial large subunit ribosomal RNA", at positions 1085 to 1674 of the family's 2925-position model. The record is from RNAcentral. Lineage: Bacteria; Pseudomonadati; Pseudomonadota; Gammaproteobacteria; Enterobacterales; Enterobacteriaceae.
CCAGACAGCCAGGAUGUUGGCUUAGAAGCAGCCAUCAUUUAAAGAAAGCGUAAUAGCUCACUGGUCGAGUCGGCCUGCGCGGAAGAUGUAACGGGGCUAAACCAUGCACCGAAGCUGCGGCAGCGACGCUUAUGCGUUGUUGGGUAGGGGAGCGUUCUGUAAGCCUGCGAAGGUGUGCUGUGAGGCAUGCUGGAGGUAUCAGAAGUGCGAAUGCUGACAUAAGUAACGAUAAAGCGGGUGAAAAGCCCGCUCGCCGGAAGACCAAGGGUUCCUGUCCAACGUUAAUCGGGGCAGGGUGAGUCGACCCCUAAGGCGAGGCCGAAAGGCGUAGUCGAUGGGAAACAGGUUAAUAUUCCUGUACUUGGUGUUACUGCGAAGGGGGGACGGAGAAGGCUAUGUCGGCCGGGCGACGGUUGUCCCGGUUUAAGCGUGUAGGCUGACUUUCCAGGCAAAUCCGGAAAGUUAAGGCUGAGGCGUGAUGACGAGGCACCACGGUGCUGAAGUGACAAAUGCCCUGCUUCCAGGAAAAGCCUCUAAGCAUCAGGUAACAUCAAAUCGUACCCCAAACCGACACAGGUGGUCAGGUAG